CUCUCGUGUUUAGUUUCUCGCAGUGCGCCUUGGCUAAAUGCCUAUGUCUACUUUUAAUCUUGAAAGUGUAUUUCUGACCGAUUUGUAGUAAAUUCUGCCUGUGUCAUUUUACAGUGUGGUCUGUUUUAUUCAAUGUCUCAUUGUUUUUCUUGUCUUCUGGGGGUUCAGAGCAGAUUAAGCCUCUGCUUUGUCGGUCUGUCUUUGCCCUGGACAUGGUAGCUGCUCAUUUCAGGUCUUGUUUUUUAUAUUUUUUCCUGUUAACUUUUUUAUCCUCGUGCUCUGUCACCCAGGCUUGGGUGUCAUCAUGUGAUCAUGGCUCCACUGCAGCCUUGGCCUUUUGGCCUCCACUGAUUUUCCCCAGUCAUCAUCUUCAGUAGCUGGGACUACAGGCAGACGUUGCCAUUUCUGACUAGUUUCUGGUUUGGUUUGAGAAGUUGGUUCUCUGUUGCUCAGGCUGGUUUUUUUUUUUUUUUUGAGAUGGGGUCUCACUCAGUUGCCCAGUCUAGAGUUCAGUGGCAGGAUCUCAGCUCACUGCAGCCUUGGCCUCCUGGGUUCAAGUGAUUCUCCUACCUCAGCCUCCUGAGUAGCUGGGAUGAUAGGUGCGUGCCACCAAGACCGGCUAAUUUUUGUUGUUGUAUCGGGCCAAGCAUAGAAAGUCAACACCAAGACAAAAGUAUGCCAAAUUGCAGGGUUUAUUGCCGGCGACCACAGAGGACUCAAGUCUGUCCAGCCCAUGGCAGAGAAAGACGGGAGACAAGAUUUUUUUAUACCCGCAAAACCACCUUGGGAGUGGAGGUUACAUGAUCUGACUUGUAACAUGAUCAGAAUAUUACCAGAAAGAAGUCUUGAUCCAGACCCCAAGAGAGCAUUCUUGGAUAUCGCACAACAAAUAAACCAGGCAGGUAAUCUUGAGGGAUGAGUUUACGUCUUGCCAAGAUGAAGAUCAGACUUACUUCAGCCUUCUAUAAAACUGAUUAUUCCAGAAGCUCAGUGCUUCUCUCCUACAAAAUAUCUGCUGCAUGCUCAGGCAUCACAACAGGAAUUCAGCAUCCAUGAGACAUCAAUAAGAGAGCUUGUUAACUUUUUUAAAAAAUAAAAUCUCAGACCCUCCACCACUCUUGCCAAUUUUUGUGACAAGGAUGUGAUAUUUCUCAGAGAUCUGGAUUCUUAAGAGAAAAGAUAAAGAGAAUGGGCAUAAAAAGACUCUCCAAGACUCUGUAAUGAAUGUUCACAGUAUGGGAAGUCUGGGUGGCAGAAUAAGUGUCUUCCACUGCCUUAUCUCUUAAUGAGUCUUUAGAGGCUAAAUAGGGAGAGGUGAAACUGAAACCAGCCUCCUGAUCAAUUAUUAUUCACUUCUGCCUCGUUGUUCACCACCCUUAGUUGUUGCUCACCCUCGUUUGGAAAAGAGGAGGAAAGAAUGUGAUCACCACAAUGGUCUGGGGCCUCACAGUAAAGGCAAUAUGACUGUGGCUGCUGAGUCAAAGGUCCCCACGUUAAAGUCAGUGGUGUCAGCAGUAAUGAUAGAGCUUUGAAUGAACCAAAGCCAAGUAUAACCACUUGGACCAGGAAGUUACUUAAAAGAGCUGAGCCCCUCUCUCCCUCUAAGCCACCUGAUGAUGCCCUCCUUGUCUCCCACGACUUUGGGUACUUUAAAGAAAACGCUGAGAAUCCUGGACAAUUUGGGAGCAGGGGAAGGACUCAAACUGCUAUAGCUCUAUUGUACAUAGGCACCAAAGUCAUCAGUAUACCCCUCCCAUCGGGGAAAGAAAUACUGGACUCAGGAGGUGGAAAGUGCUAAGAACUAUGAGGAAGAGCCUUGGUGAAUGACAGGACCAAUCUGUUUCUUGACUCUGGAGCUGUUGCCAAUGACUUAGGUUUCUGCAAUUCCACUUGAAAACUACAGUGUGGCAGAUUAGAAACAUUCCUUUCUCAGGACACAAACUCAAAAUAAAUUGCUGCU
Molecule: long non-coding RNA, 1960 nt
Filed under: Callithrix jacchus (white-tufted-ear marmoset)
Lineage: Eukaryota; Metazoa; Chordata; Mammalia; Primates; Cebidae
Description: lncRNA (ENSCJAG00000084033.1)
Source: RNAcentral